UGCCUAUGCAUAGCCUUAUCGUUUGGUGUUU
This 31-nucleotide non-coding RNA is filed under the name Rattus norvegicus (Norway rat). Lineage: Eukaryota; Metazoa; Chordata; Mammalia; Rodentia; Muridae. The record is from RNAcentral.